Oncorhynchus mykiss (rainbow trout) is the source of this 229-nucleotide non-coding RNA. The record is from RefSeq and is a predicted model, not a curated record. NCBI's taxonomy places the organism in Eukaryota, Metazoa, Chordata, Actinopteri, Salmoniformes, Salmonidae.
AGAGAGGUGUGUCAAUAGCACAGAAUACAUUUGUAGAAUUUUGCCUUUAUGUGUUCUGCUGCCACACCUUCUGACUCUGAGACCAUUCUCCCUACCUCAUUGGAGCUCAGUGGAGAGGGGAAACCUGGAGAGAGAGAGAGAGAGAGGGGAAAGAAACCUUUUACACAUUACAUUCACACAGAAACAGUUCUGCUGCCACACCUUCUGACUCUGAGACCAUUCUCCCUAC